Molecule: ribosomal RNA, 379 nt
Filed under: uncultured eukaryote
Lineage: Eukaryota
Description: partial 18S ribosomal RNA
Rfam family: Eukaryotic small subunit ribosomal RNA
Source: RNAcentral
CAAUAGCGUAUAUUAAAGUUGUUGCGGUUAAAAAGCUCGUAGUUGGAUUUCUGUUGGGAACGACCGGUCCGCCCAUUGGGUGUGUAUCUGGCUUGUUCUCGGCAUCUUCUUGGUGAACGUUGCUGCACUUGACUGUGUGGAGCGCUACCCAGGACUUUUACUUUGAGGAAAUUAGAGUGUUUCAAGCAGGCAUAUGCCUUGAAUACAUUAGCAUGGAAUAAUAAGAUAGGACCUCGGUUCUAUUUUGUUGGUUUCUAGAGCUGAGGUAAUGAUUAAUAGGGAUAGUUGGGGGCAUUCGUAUUUAACUGUCGGAGGUGAAAUUCUUGGAUUUGUUAAAGACGGACUACUGCGAAAGCAUUUGCCAAGGAUGUUUNCAUUG